Molecule: non-coding RNA, 45 nt
Organism: Schistosoma rodhaini
Lineage: Eukaryota; Metazoa; Platyhelminthes; Trematoda; Strigeidida; Schistosomatidae
Source: Rfam
GUUCAUCUGACGAGUUCCAAAUAGGACGAAACUCACGUCAUGGAU